GAAUGUCAGUAAAGGCUGCAAACUAGUUUGGAUGUGGUUCUGCAGUACCAAGUCUUCAGGUUUCCAAUGAUGAUCUUGCCAAAGUUGAUACUUCAGAUGAGUGGAUGUCUGUUCGCACUGGGAUCCCUAAUUGACGAGUUCUAACAGACGAACUCGUGCAUGAAGCUGAAUUGUAUAGGACUAGUCGGCACUUGUUAGAUUAAGGAUUCUAUUUUUGGAUAAAUGUGUAUGGAAAAUAUUUGGGUAGACUACUAGUUAUAUUUUUGGAUAGAUGCAUAUGGAUAAAAAUUUAAAACAUAAUAAUAACUACUUGUUUUGUUUUAAAUUUUUAUACUAGAUCGAUGUGAAUUGGAUGAUUAUAUGGUGGUGUUUGGGAAGUAUUUUUUUUUUUUUUGCUAAAAAAACACUAAAAGACAAAAUU
Molecule: non-coding RNA, 421 nt
Organism: Camellia sinensis
Lineage: Eukaryota; Viridiplantae; Streptophyta; Magnoliopsida; Ericales; Theaceae
Source: RefSeq, a predicted model, not a curated record